GUAGUCAUGGCCAAGUGGUUAAGCCAAUGGACUAGAAAUCCAUUGGGGUGUUCCUGUGCAGGUUUGAAUCCUGCCGACUACG
This 82-nucleotide transfer RNA is filed under the name Trichechus manatus latirostris (Florida manatee). Its description in RNAcentral is "tRNA-Ser (AGA) (tRNA-Ser-AGA-11-1)". It matches the Rfam family "tRNA". From Rfam's summary of the family: Transfer RNA (tRNA) molecules are approximately 80 nucleotides in length. Lineage: Eukaryota; Metazoa; Chordata; Mammalia; Sirenia; Trichechidae. The record is from Rfam by way of RNAcentral.